This 305-nucleotide ribosomal RNA is filed under the name uncultured bacterium. Its description in RNAcentral is "bacterial SSU rRNA". It matches the Rfam family "Bacterial small subunit ribosomal RNA", at positions 337 to 638 of the family's 1533-position model. The record is from RNAcentral.
UCCUACGGGACGCAGCAGUGAGGAAUAUUGGUCAAUGGGCGAGAGCCUGAACCAGCCAAGUCGCGUGAAGGAUGACGGCCCUAUGGGUUGUAAACUUCUUUUGUCAGGGAGCAAUUGGGUCCACGCGUGGGCUUAGCGAGAGUACCUGAAGAAAAAGCAUCGGCUAACUCCGUGCCAGCAGCCGCGGUAAUACGGAGGAUGCGAGCGUUAUCCGGAUUUAUUGGGUGUAAAGGGAGCGCAGGCGGCUUGGCAAGUCUGAUGUGAAAGGCUGGGGCUCAACCCCAGGACUGCAUUGGAAACUGUUA